CCUUAAACAUGGCCAGGUCGGAGCGGAUGAAGAGAGCUUGCUUUCUGAUUCAGCGGCGGACGGGUGAGUAAUGCCUAGGAAUCUGCCUGAUAGUGGGGGACAACGUUUCGAAAGGAACGCUAAUACCGCAUACGUCCUACGGGAGAAAGCAGGGGACCUUCGGGCCUUGCGCUAUCAGAUGAGCCUAGGUCGGAUUAGCUAGUUGGUGAGGUAACGGCUCACCAAGGCGACGAUCCGUAACUGGUCUGAGAGGAUAAUCAGUCACACUGGAACUGAGACACGGUCCAGACUCCUACGGGAGGCAGCAGUGGGGAAUAUUGGACAAUGGGCGAAAGCCUGAUCCAGCCAUGCCGCGUGUGUGAAGAAGGUCUUCGGAUUGUAAAGCACUUUAAGUUGGGAGGAAGGGCAUUAACCUUAUACGUUAGUGUUU
RNAcentral lists this ribosomal RNA (430 nucleotides) under bacterium enrichment culture clone bHCH1_F7. Its description in RNAcentral is "bacterial SSU rRNA". It matches the Rfam family "Bacterial small subunit ribosomal RNA", at positions 47 to 473 of the family's 1533-position model. The record is from RNAcentral.